RNAcentral lists this ribosomal RNA (262 nucleotides) under uncultured bacterium. RNAcentral describes it as "partial 16S ribosomal RNA". It matches the Rfam family "Bacterial small subunit ribosomal RNA", at positions 793 to 1055 of the family's 1533-position model. The record is from RNAcentral.
GUCCACGCCGUAAACGUUGGGCGCUAGGUGUGGGGGACAUUCCACGUCCUCCGUGCCGCAGCUAACGCAUUAAGCGCCCCGCCUGGGGAGUACGGCCGCAAGGCUAAAACUCAAAGGAAUUGACGGGGGCCCGCACAAGCGGCGGAGCAUGCGGAUUAAUUCGAUGCAACGCGAAGAACCUUACCUGGAUUUGACAUAUAGGGAAAACUGUCAGAGAUGGCAGGUCCGCAAGGGCCCUAUACAGGUGGUGCAUGGCUGUCGU